Molecule: long non-coding RNA, 584 nt
Organism: Armigeres subalbatus
Lineage: Eukaryota; Metazoa; Arthropoda; Insecta; Diptera; Culicidae
Exons: 3
Source: RefSeq, a predicted model, not a curated record
UUAGCAUUCUGUCUUGAGAAAAAGUUGAUUUUUGCUUCACCACGUGAUGUUCUUGUAAUCUAUGUGAAGUGCCGCGAUUUUCAAUAGUUUUAUUAUAUAAAUAAAGUCUAGAACGCAUCGCACUACCAACAAACAUAACUAACAUAAUAUAUUUAAACCAACAAAGACCUGACCUGACGCUGAUAUCCUAUAACAUGCACGCCUGGACACAAUCUGAGAGACACAAUCAAGUGUACAUUCAGAUAUUUACCGCAAGAAAAAAGGAUGGCACACCUUAUCGGAGGUGAGUCCACGUUUGCGUUCAAACCACGGAAGGGAAUUAGGGUCGUUCGUCAGGUAACUGCCCCGUCGACUCCAAUCGUACGACUUAAGCUAUACUCGGUGUCAUCAUCCUGGGCAGUGUUCCAUAACCAGAGAAAAUGUCUGGGGGCAGUCCCGAGGCAGUCAGUUUAUAUACGAUGAACUGGAAAAAGUAUCCUCAAAAUGUUUAGUGUUCAACGAUUCUUCUGACUGUUCAUCGCUGCCACCGAAAAGCACAUCUUUGGCAACGCUCUCGGCGGAAAGUUUGGAAGCUACCAUUUUAA